Molecule: long non-coding RNA, 296 nt
Filed under: Monodelphis domestica (gray short-tailed opossum)
Lineage: Eukaryota; Metazoa; Chordata; Mammalia; Didelphimorphia; Didelphidae
Description: lncRNA (ENSMODG00000037518.1)
Source: RNAcentral
UUCUGUGAUUAGUGGAAGGACACUGGACGCGGGAGUGCAGUGAGGUGGAUUAAAGCGUCCCUUCUGUCAGUUGCCAACGGCGGGAUGGCAGCCAAGUCAUUUUGUCCUCACAGCUCCUCAAAAUCUGCGGCUUGAACUAGGGAAGGAAACAAGCAUUUAGGGAGCGUCUGAUUUGCACCAGGCACCGCGCUAGAUGGAAGUCAUUCAUCGAAAGUCAGAGAGGUCGCCUAGAGAGUCAGGUUGGGCUGAGACUUGAAGACCACGUCCUGCCUCCAAGUCCAACGUUAUGUUCCACU